CUCAAUAGACUAGACUAUAGUGUAAACAAAUUUUAUGUUCAUAGGGAAACCAAAAACAUUAUUGCAAUACUCACUUUAUUGUAGUAGUCUGGAACCAAACCCACAAUACCUCAAAUGUAUGCCUCAAUAUCAUGGUUCAGUUCUCAAAUUCCUUAGUUAAUCUGCUUUAAGUCUUGUUUACAACUUAUCCAGCUCAAAGGUAAGCCUGUGAUUUGUGUGGGUUCAUGCACAGUCAGGGAGUCUCUUUGUUUAAAUUUAUGUUUCUAGGACUUGGCUAACUUUCUCUGACCUUUUUCUGGCUCCUCUGGCCAAAAAGACUUCAUUUCUACUGGUAAGUUAGCUGUCAGCUCUACACCUCUGCCCAGCUUUGCAACUGGGACCCUAUGGGCAAAUAUAUGAGACAAAAGAGAAAAAAAGUACAGGGAAUUUCAUUCCUGAAUAGAGCACUUCUUCAUAUUUUGAUUCUCUCCACCAUUUUCCCUCUUUUUAGUUAUAUUUCUGCAUCCUCAAUUAGUUGCUUUUUAAAUAUUUUUCAGAGAUUUUAGUUAUAAUCAGUGAUAAACAUAGGCUAUACUGGGCUUGUCUCAUUUUGGAUAGAACUACAACUCUGUGAGAAGGAGGUGCUUCUCAGUUGGUUCUGAUAUCCAUGAGCAUAGAGGAGGAUUCUGUGGCCUUGAGACUUCAACCUUUGAGGAGAUGCUGGCCCACUGGUACAGUUGUCUCUGCAGAGGUGAUGUGAUUUGAUGGCUUCUUGAAGUGUUGAAACAACUGCAAGCAGGUUUCAGCAGUGGCUCCUCAAACAAACUAUUAUCAGCAUGGAGAUGUGAGUCUAGGAUAACUCUCAAAGGAGGGCCUUGAGCAGUUAAAUGGCAUGAUUUAAUGUUUAAGAUGAUCACUCUGACUACUCUUUGGAGAACAGACUGAAUGUGACUAAAGAAAAAAUAAGGAGACCAGUUAGAAAAUAUUACAAUAAUCCAGAUGAGAUUAAGAUGGCAGAAUAGAAGGACUGGAGCUUACCUUCCUCAUAAUAACAACAAAAUUACAACCAAAUGCUGGACAACCUUCUAACAAAUGGACUGGAAACCCUCAAAAAGAUGUCCUAUUUCAGAAGACAAAGAGGAGGCCACAUCAAGAAGUAGGAGGGGGGAUUAUGUGAUAUAAGCAACCCCAUACCCAAUGGGUGAGAAGCACACAGACUGGAAAGUAACUUUAUCACAGAGACUCACCUAUAAGACUGAGAGUUCUGAGCCCCAUGUUAGGUAUCCAUGCCUGGGGAUCUGCAUUGGGAAAAAGAGCCCCUGGAGCAUGUGGCAUUGAAGGCCAGUGGGGCUUGUGCAGGAGCUCCACAGGACUGGGGGAAACAGAGACCACAUUCUAUGUGUGUAUCAAUUUUGCAAAAUACAAUAACUGAAAGAAAAAAAAUUCAUUAGAAGCAACCAAUGGCAGAAUAUAGGAGGUAGAAGAACAAAUAAGCAAGGUGGAGGACAGACUAUUGGAAAUCACUGAUGUGGAACAGAAAAGAGAAAAAAGAUUGAAAAGAAAUAAGGAGUCUCAGAGAACUCUGGGACAAUGUUAAAUGCACCAACAUCUGUAUUAUAAGGGUGUCAGAAGGAGAAGAGAGAGGAAAAGGGAGAGAAAAAAUAUUUCAAGAGAUAAUAGCUGAAAAUUUCCCUAACAUGGGAAAGGAACCACUCACUCAAAUCCAGGAAGCAUGAGUAUCAUAUAAAAUAAACCCAAGGAGAAACACCCCAAGACACAUUUUAAUCAAAAUAACCGAAAUUAAAGACAAAAAGAAAAUAUCGAAAGCAGCUAAGGAAAACAAACAAAUAACACAAGGGAACCCCAAUAAGGUUAUCAGCAGAUUUUUCAGCAGAAACUCUGCAGGCCAGAAUGGAGUGGCAUAAUAUACUUAACAUGAUGAAGGGAAAAAAACCCCAACCAAGAUUACUUCACCCAGCAAGGAUCUCCUUCAGAUUUGAAGGAGAAAUCAAAAGCUUUAUAGAUAAAAAAGCUAAGAGAAUUGAACAACACUAAACCAGCGUUACAACAAAUACUAAAGGAACUUCUCUAGGCAGAAAAGAAAAGGCCACUAUCAGAAACAAAAAUUUUACAAAAAUGACAAGGCUCACCAGUAAGGGCAUAUAUACAGCCAAGGUAGGAAAUCAUCCAUGUAAAAAUAUGCUACAAAAAUCAGAAAUCAUGAGAAGAGGAGGGUACAAAUGCAGGACACUUGGAGAUGCACUUACAAUUAAGAGACCAACAACUUAAAACAAUCUCGUAUAUAUAUAGACUCCUAUAUCAAAACUUCUGGGUAACUGCAAACCAAAAGUCUACAAUUGAUACACACACAAAUAAGAAAAAUCAACUCAAAUACAACAUUAAAGAGAGUCAUCAAACCACAAGAGGAGAGAAGAAGAGAGGGAAGAAAAAAGAGCAAUGAAAACAAAUCCAAGGCAAUUAAUAAAAUGUCAAUAAGAACAUACAUAUCAAUAAUUACCUUAAAUGAAAAUGGACUAAAUGCCCCUACCAAAAGAUGUAGACUGGCUCAAUGGAUACAAAAA
Molecule: long non-coding RNA, 2561 nt
Filed under: Sus scrofa (pig)
Lineage: Eukaryota; Metazoa; Chordata; Mammalia; Artiodactyla; Suidae
Description: lncRNA (ENSSSCG00030022719.1)
Source: RNAcentral